Molecule: ribosomal RNA, 465 nt
Filed under: uncultured bacterium
Lineage: Bacteria
Description: partial 16S ribosomal RNA
Rfam family: Bacterial small subunit ribosomal RNA
Source: RNAcentral
GACGAACGCUGGCGGCGUGCUUAACACAUGCAAGUCGUACGGUAAGGCCCUUUCGGGGGUACACGAGUGGCGAACGGGUGAGUAACACGUGAGUAACCUGCCCACAACUUUGGGAUAACGCUAGGAAACUGGUGCUAAUACUGGAUAUGUGCUCCUGCUGCAUGGUGGGGGUUGGAAAGCUCCGGCGGUUGUGGAUGGACUCGCGGCCUAUCAGCUUGUUGGUGGGGUAGUGGCCUACCAAGGCGGCGACGGGUAGCCGGCCUGAGAGGGUGACCGGCCACAUUGGGACUGAGAUACGGCCCAGACUCCUACGGGAGGCAGCAGUGGGGAAUAUUGCACAAUGGGCGCAAGCUUGAUGCAGCAACGCCGCGUGCGGGAUGACGGCCUUCGGGUUGUAAACCGCUUUCAGCAGGGACGAAGCUUUUUGUGACGGUACCUGCAGAAGAAGCACCGGCUAACUACGUG